This 646-nucleotide ribosomal RNA is filed under the name uncultured archaeon. RNAcentral's name for it is "bacterial SSU rRNA". It matches the Rfam family "Archaeal small subunit ribosomal RNA", at positions 156 to 805 of the family's 1478-position model. The record is from RNAcentral.
ACGUUGUCAGUUUGAAGACGGCGACGAUGAAACGUUCCGACGCUGGUGGAUGUGGCUGCGGCCGAUUAGGUAGAUGGUGGGGUAACGGCCCACCAUGCCGAUAAUCGGUACGGGUUGUGAGAGCAAGAGCCCGGAGACGGAAUCUGAGACAAGAUUCCGGGCCCUACGGGGCGCAGCAGGCGCGAAACCUUUACACUGCACGCCAGUGCGAUAAGGGAACCCCGAGUGAAAGGGCAUAUCGCCCUUUCUUUUCUGAACCGUAGGGAGGUUCAGGAACAAGAGCUGGGCAAGACCGGUGCCAGCCGCCGCGGUAAUACCGGCAGCUCAAGUGAUGACCGAUUUUAUUGGGCCUAAAGCGUCCGUAGCUGGCCAUGCAAGUCCGUCGGGAAAUCCACCCGCUUAACGGGUGGGCGUCCGGCGGAAACUGCACGGCUUGGGACAGGAAGGCUCGAGGGGUACGUUCGGGGUAGGAGUGAAAUCCCGUAAUCCUGAACGGACCACCGAUGGCGAAAGCACCUCGAGAGGACUGAUCCGACAGUGAGGGACGAAAGCUGGGGUCUCGAACCGGAUUAGAUACCCGGGUAGUCCCAGCUGUAAACGAUGUUCGCUAGGUGUGUCACUCACUACGAGUGAGUGAUGUGCCGCA